GAUGAAUAACGUAGCGAAAUGCGAUAAGUAAUGUGAAUUGCAGAAUUCAGUGAAUCAUCGAGUCUUUGAACGCACAUUGCGCCCCCUGGUAUUCCGGGGGGCAUGCCUGUCCGAGCGUCAUUGCUGCCCUCAAGCACGGCUUGUGUGUUGGGCCCCCGUCCCCGGUUUCCCCCGGGGACGGGCCCGAAAGGCAGCGGCGGCACCGCGUCCGGUCCUCGAGCGUAUGGGGCUUUGUCACCCGCUCUGUAGGCCCGGCCGGCGCCAGCCGACACCCAACUUUAUUUCUAAGGUUGACCUCGGAUCAGGUAGGGAUACCCGCUGAACUUAAGCAUAUCAAUAAGCGGAGGA
RNAcentral lists this unclassified non-coding RNA (348 nucleotides) under soil metagenome. RNAcentral's name for it is "partial contains 5.8S ribosomal RNA, internal transcribed spacer 2, and large subunit ribosomal RNA". The stretch from base 1 to 120 matches the Rfam family "5.8S ribosomal RNA", at positions 35 to 154 of the family's 154-position model. The record is from RNAcentral.